This 1680-nucleotide long non-coding RNA is filed under the name Homo sapiens (human). RNAcentral's name for it is "long non-coding RNA NONHSAT152118.1". The record is from RNAcentral. Lineage: Eukaryota; Metazoa; Chordata; Mammalia; Primates; Hominidae.
GCUGAGGAGAUCUUGACUCUCUUUUGUGGGGCACCACCUGUUACACCUAUUAUUGUUUUGUCGAUAAUUAAUUUUUUUGAAAGAUUGUGUCUUACUUGGAUGUUUUUUUUCAUGAUGUGUGUGGCAGAGAGAACAUAUAAACAGAGAUUUUUAUUUGCAAAACUCUUCAGCCAUAUUACUUCUGCCAGGAAAGCUAGGAAAUAUGAAAUACCUCAUUUCAGACUUAAGAAGGUGGAGAAUAUUAAAAUAUGGUUAUCACUGCGUUCCUAUCUAAAGAGACGGGGGCCACAGCGUUCAGUUGAUGUGGUUGUAUCCUCGGUUUUCCUACUGACACUUUCGAUUGCUUUCAUUUGUUGUGCUCAGGUUCUCCAAGGACAUAAAACUUUCCUGAAUGAUGCUUAUAACUGGGAGUUUUUGAUCUGGGAAACAGCUUUACUACUUUUUUUAUUGCGUCUGGCCUCACUGGGGUCUGAAACCAAUAAGAAAUACAGCAAUGUUUCAAUAUUACUUACAGAACAGAAUCGUAAUGGAGAAUUCUUCCUACAAGGCAAAAUAUAAGGAAUUAGUAAAAUUAAUUUAUAUCUUAAGAUGGAAAAAAAGCCAAAUAAGAAAGAACAGCUUACUCUAGUAAACAAUGUAUUAAAGCUGUCCACCAAGUUGUUGAAAGAGCUGGACACACCAUUUAGACUCUAUGGACUGACAAUGAAUCCCUUAAUCUACAAUAUCACAAGAGUAGUUAUCCUUUCUGCUGUCUCAGGUGUUAUAAGUGAUCUUCUAGGAUUUAAUAUAAGACUGUGGAAAAUUAAAUCAUAAGCUGAGUAAAUGCCUGGACUCUCCCCUGGCUGGUAUCAAAACUUACCUAUCAAGGAAAGUGAUGACUGCAGAAACCAGUGAGAUACCCACCUGCUUGUUCACAUGCACAGGUGCUCUCAGCUCUGCCAAAGCGAAUGAAUGGUGUUUCCGGAGGAGCAAGUCCUUUUCCAACUGGGUGUGCAUGCUAAAAACCUGUAUUUUCAUGCUUUUCAAACAACAUGAAUAGUCAGCUGACUAAAGACUGUGUGUGUUGUGGUAACACAAAGACAAUUUUGUAAGUUUGCGCUUCAGUACUGUGACAGUUAUGUUUACUGGACAUAGUCUUUUGGGCAACUAUGAUAGAUGCCCAAAGCAUGAAGCAAAUAUCUUUUAUUGGAAAUAUGCAAAUUCAAUACUUUUCCAUUAUAGUCUAUAGAACUGGAGAUUUCAUUUCUCUAUCAAAGAGAGAUCAAGCGAACUAUUUUAGGUUAAAUCCGAAUAAAAGAACUUUACUGGAGACUUUCAGUUUCUAGGUUUUCUUUGUUGUUGAAGGAAGAAAAUUAACUUUUAAACUGUGAGUUUCUGUUAAACUGUGGAGAAAUGUUUUGUUCGUUUACGAUUUUGGGUUAAUAACUGUAUAGUUGUUGGCAAACGAUGCAUGCAUACAAUAUGCCAUGUAAUUCAGCAUGAAAAAUUUAAGUAUAUGCCUACUCAUCCAUUUCCAUCAUACAACAUGGUUUCCACGUUCUAUGUGGAAGCCAUGGAAGCAUUGUUUCCAUAUAGAUCAUCUGAGUUGUGGUUCCUAACACAGUGCUAUGUGUCCUAUCACAAGCAUCAUUGAUAGUUUAUCAGUUGUGCAACUUAAUGUAUUAAACCCUCCGUACAUUU